This 78-nucleotide transfer RNA is filed under the name Haliotis rufescens (red abalone). Its description in RNAcentral is "tRNA-Leu". It matches the Rfam family "tRNA". Rfam says of the family: Transfer RNA (tRNA) molecules are approximately 80 nucleotides in length. Their secondary structure includes four short double-helical elements and three loops (D, anti-codon, and T loops). Further hydrogen bonds mediate the characteristic L-shaped molecular structure. tRNAs have two regions of fundamental functional importance: the anti-codon, which is responsible for specific mRNA codon recognition, and the 3' end, to which the tRNAs corresponding amino acid is attached (by aminoacyl-tRNA synthetases). tRNAs cope with the degeneracy of the genetic code in two manners: having more than one tRNA (with a specific anti-codon) for a particular amino acid; and 'wobble' base-pairing, i.e. permitting non-standard base-pairing at the 3rd anti-codon position. The record is from RNAcentral. Lineage: Eukaryota; Metazoa; Mollusca; Gastropoda; Lepetellida; Haliotidae.
GUCAGGAUGGCCGAGCGGUCAAGGCGCUGCGUUCAGGUCGCAGUCGUCCUGGCGUGGGUUCGAAUCCCACUUCUGACA